CCUACGGGUGGCUGCAGUGGGGAAUAUUGCACAAUGGGGGAAACCCUGAUGCAGCAACGCCGCGUGAGUGAAGAAGUAUCUCGGUAUGUAAAGCUCUAUCAGCAGGGAAGAAAAUGACGGUACCUGACUAAGAAGCCCCGGCUAACUACGUGCCAGCAGCCGCGGUAAUACGUAGGGGGCAAGCGUUAUCCGGAUUUACUGGGUGUAAAGGGAGCGUCGACGGGGUGGCAAGUCUGAAGUGAAAGCCCGGGGCCCAACCCCGGGACUGCUUUGGAAACUGUCAUGCUGGAGUGCUGGAGAGGUAAGCGGAAUUCCUAGUGUAGCGGUGAAAUGCGUAGAUAUUAGGAGGAACACCAGUGGCGAAGGCGGCUUACUGGACAGUAACUGACGUUGAGGCUCGAAAGCGUGGGGAGCAAACAGGAUUAGAUACCCUUGUAGUC
RNAcentral lists this ribosomal RNA (440 nucleotides) under uncultured bacterium. Its description in RNAcentral is "partial 16S ribosomal RNA". It matches the Rfam family "Bacterial small subunit ribosomal RNA", at positions 338 to 795 of the family's 1533-position model. The record is from RNAcentral.